UUAAAUUGAAGAGUUUGAUCAUGGCUCAGAUUGAACGCUGGCGGCAGGCCUAACACAUGCAAGUCGAGCGGAAACGAGUUAUUUGAACCUUCGGGGAAUGAUAACGGCGUCGAGCGGCGGACGGGUGAGUAAUGCCUAGGAAAUUGCCCUGAUGUGGGGGAUAACCAUUGGAAACG
This 176-nucleotide ribosomal RNA is filed under the name Vibrio agarivorans. RNAcentral's name for it is "partial 16S ribosomal RNA". It matches the Rfam family "Bacterial small subunit ribosomal RNA", at positions 1 to 158 of the family's 1533-position model. Lineage: Bacteria; Pseudomonadati; Pseudomonadota; Gammaproteobacteria; Vibrionales; Vibrionaceae. The record is from RNAcentral.